AACGAACGCUGGCGGCAUGCCUAACACAUGCAAUUCGAACGAGACCUUCUGGUCUAGUGGCGCACGGGUGCGUAACGCGUGGGAACCUGCCCUUAGGUUCGGAAUAACUCCCCGAAAGGGGUGCUAAUACCGGAUAAUGUCUUCGGACCAAAGAUUUAUCGCCUUUGGAUGGGCCCGCUUUGGAUUAGCUAGUUGGUAGGGUAAAAGCCUACCAAGGCGACGAUCCAUAGCUGGUCUGAGAGGAUGAUCAGCCACACUGGGACUGAGACACGGCCCAGACUCCGACGGGAGGCAGCAGUGGGGAAUAAUGGACAAUGGGCGAAAGCCUGAUCCAGCAAUGCCGCGUGAGUGAUGAAGGGUUUAGGGUUGUAAAGCUCUUUUACCCGGGAUGAUAAUGACAGGACCGGGAGAAUAAGCUCCGGCGAACUCCGU
RNAcentral lists this ribosomal RNA (432 nucleotides) under uncultured bacterium. RNAcentral's name for it is "partial 16S ribosomal RNA". It matches the Rfam family "Bacterial small subunit ribosomal RNA", at positions 29 to 506 of the family's 1533-position model. The record is from RNAcentral.